Molecule: small nucleolar RNA, 133 nt
Organism: Osmerus eperlanus (European smelt)
Lineage: Eukaryota; Metazoa; Chordata; Actinopteri; Osmeriformes; Osmeridae
Product: small nucleolar RNA SNORA68
Exons: 1
Source: RefSeq, a predicted model, not a curated record
AAUGCACCCUAAACCCAAAGAUCCUAUCAAAUAAAUGGUUUGAUCUUGUCUGGUGUGCUAAAAGUAGUACGUACCUUGUCGCCUUUCUCUGCUGCUGCAGUGCCUUUGAAAGUGAAUCCAAGGUUCUACAUCU